UACAUUUUAAAUACAGAUUUAUUGAGUGGAAUUUGUAGUUUUAUUACAUGAUAUAAUAAAAUGAGUUAUUGGUAUGAUCCUGAAAUUAAUACUCUAAUUUGGUUCGUCAUCUGAUUGGCAUCAGGGCUUAUGAGUAUCUGCUACUGUGGUUCUUCUACAGGAUGCUGAUAACGUGCCGUGAAUAUGGGGGGGUCUAGGGUCAGUGUAGUUGGGAACCACUGGGUUACACGGGCCUUAUUACUGCAGAGCUGACACAGGACACAAUGGCCGUGUGCGCUGCGAGUCGUUCAUUUGAGGGGAGAGGGGGCAACAGACAACAUGGAAGCCUAUCUGCCCGCAGAACUGCUUUCUGCAGAGCAUCGCACAGCUCCACGUUCCACGGGUCACACUUGAGCCAACACUGACCUGCUGGCUUGCUUGUUUUUAAAUUCAAAUAAUAAUCUCAGUUUUAAGGGUGGGAAUCAGUUUACUGGCCUUGUGACACAAUCAGGCAUUCGGGGGAAAUAUCACAAGGUCAGCACUGGUGGGGACCACACUUAACAAAAGAGCGGUUGUAUCAGAUUAUAUCAGAAACACCUGAGGAACUUCAAAAGCUACCACCCUGCCAGGAUGUUCUAAGGGGGUUAGGCAUGUGCCCAAGAAAAAGACUCCCAGUUGGUUCUGAAACGCAGCCUCUGAUCUAGAAAUCCAGUGACCAUUUGGGCAUCAGUCAAGAGUAUGCAAUUCUUAAAUCCUUACUACUGUUUUUUUUCCUUCAACAAGUCUUGACCAAAUGCCUACUCUGUUCCAUGCUCUAUACCUGCAAGGGCUUGACUUCAGGCUAACGUGAAACAAGGAAAUUCUCAGUUUUUCUUGUUUCAGC
RNAcentral lists this long non-coding RNA (862 nucleotides) under Bos taurus (domestic cattle). Its description in RNAcentral is "long non-coding RNA NONBTAT024058". Lineage: Eukaryota; Metazoa; Chordata; Mammalia; Artiodactyla; Bovidae. The record is from RNAcentral.